CCACACGACUCUCGGCAACGGAUAUCUCGGCUCUCGCAUCGAUGAAGAACGUAGCGAAAUGCGAUACCUGGUGUGAAUUGCAGAAUCCCGCGAACCAUCGAGUCUUUGAACGCAAGUUGCGUCCGAGGCCAUUCGGCCGAGGGCACGCCUGCCUGGGCGUCACG
Molecule: ribosomal RNA, 164 nt
Filed under: Chascolytrum juergensii
Lineage: Eukaryota; Viridiplantae; Streptophyta; Magnoliopsida; Poales; Poaceae
Description: 5.8S ribosomal RNA
Rfam family: 5.8S ribosomal RNA
About the family: 5.8S ribosomal RNA (5.8S rRNA) is a component of the large subunit of the eukaryotic ribosome. It is transcribed by RNA polymerase I as part of the 45S precursor that also contains 18S and 28S rRNA.
Source: RNAcentral